UCCUGACUGACCGAUAGUGAACCAGUACCGUGAGGGAAAGGCGAAAAGAACCCCGGCGAGGGGAGUGAAAAAGAACCUGAAACCGUGUACGUACAAGCAGUGGGAGCACGCUUAGGCGUGUGACUGCGUACCUUUUGUAUAAUGGGUCAGCGACUUAUAUUCUGUAGCAAGGUUAACCGAAUAGGGGAGCCGAAGGGAAACCGAGUCUUAACUGGGCGUUAAGUUGCAGGGUAUAGACCCGAAACCCGGUGAUCUAGCCAUGGGCAGGUUGAAGGUUGGGUAACACUAACUGGAGGACCGAACCGACUAAUGUUGAAAAAUUAGCGGAUGACUUGUGGCUGGGGGUGAAAGGCCAAUCAAACCGGGAGAUAGCUGGUUCUCCCCGAAAGCUAUUUAGGUAGCGCCUCGUGAAUUCAUCUCCGGGGGUAGAGCACUGUUUCGGCA
RNAcentral lists this ribosomal RNA (444 nucleotides) under Escherichia coli. RNAcentral describes it as "partial 23S ribosomal RNA". It matches the Rfam family "Bacterial large subunit ribosomal RNA", at positions 474 to 920 of the family's 2925-position model. Lineage: Bacteria; Pseudomonadati; Pseudomonadota; Gammaproteobacteria; Enterobacterales; Enterobacteriaceae. RNAcentral also lists the same sequence under 8 other names. The record is from RNAcentral.